RNAcentral lists this ribosomal RNA (402 nucleotides) under uncultured bacterium. RNAcentral describes it as "bacterial SSU rRNA". It matches the Rfam family "Bacterial small subunit ribosomal RNA", at positions 355 to 774 of the family's 1533-position model. The record is from RNAcentral.
UGGGGAAUCUUGCACAAUGGAGGAAACUCUGAUGCAGCGACGCCGCGUGAGCGAUGAAGCCCUUCGGGGUGUAAAGCUCUUUCGACGGGAACGAUAAUGACGCUACCCGGAGAAGAAGCUGCGGCUAACUACGUGCCAGCAGCCGCGGUAAUACGUAGGCAGCAAACGUUGUUCGGAAUUACUGGGCGUAAAGAGUGUGUGGGCGGUUUUGCAAGUUUGGUGUGAAAUCUCCCGGCUUAACUGGGAGGGUGCGCCGAAAACUGCAAGGCUCGAGUACUGGAGAGGAAAGCGGAAUUCCUGGUGUAGCGGUGAAAUGCGUAGAUAUCAGGAGGAACACCGGUGGUGUAGACGGCUUUCUGGACAGUCACUGACGCUGAGACACGAAAGCGUGGGGAGCAAACA